UACGUAGGGCGCAAGCGUUAUCCGGAAUUAUUGGGCGUAAAGGGCGCGUAGGCGGCUUUGCAAGUGACGGGUGAAAUCCCUCGGCUUAACCGAGGAACUGCCUGUCAGACUGCAUGGCUUGAGACCGGGAGAGGUGAGUGGAAUUCCCAGUGUAGCGGUGAAAUGCGUAGAUAUUGGGAGGAACACCAGUGGCGAAGGCGGCUCACUGGACCGGUACUGACGCUGAGGCGCGAAAGCGUGGGGAGCAAACAGG
This 253-nucleotide ribosomal RNA is filed under the name uncultured bacterium. Its description in RNAcentral is "partial 16S ribosomal RNA". It matches the Rfam family "Bacterial small subunit ribosomal RNA", at positions 524 to 776 of the family's 1533-position model. The record is from RNAcentral.